CCUACGGGAGGCAGCAGUGAGGAAUAUUGGUCAAUGGACGAGAGUCUGAACCAGCCAAGUAGCGUGAAGGAUGACUGCCCUAUGGGUUGUAAACUUCUUUUAUAUGGGAAUAAAAUGUUCCACGUGUGGGAUUUUGUAUGUACCAUAUGAAUAAGGAUCGGCUAACUCCGUGCCAGCAGCCGCGGUAAUACGGAGGAUCCGAGCGUUAUCCGGAUUUAUUGGGUUUAAAGGGAGCGUAGGUGGGUUGUUAAGUCAGUUGUGAAAGUUUGCGGCUCAACCGUAAAAUUGCAGUUGAAACUGGCAGUCUUGAGGACAGUAGAGGUGGGCGGAAUUCGUGGUGGAGCGGUGAAAUGCUUAGAUAUCACGAAGAACUCCGAUUGCGAAGGCAGUUCACUGGACUGCAACUGACACUGAGGCUCGAAAGUGUGGGUAUCAAACAGGAUUAGAUACCCGUGUAGUC
This 460-nucleotide ribosomal RNA is filed under the name uncultured bacterium. RNAcentral describes it as "partial 16S ribosomal RNA". It matches the Rfam family "Bacterial small subunit ribosomal RNA", at positions 338 to 795 of the family's 1533-position model. The record is from RNAcentral.